This 590-nucleotide unclassified non-coding RNA is filed under the name Hevea brasiliensis (rubber tree). Lineage: Eukaryota; Viridiplantae; Streptophyta; Magnoliopsida; Malpighiales; Euphorbiaceae. The record is from RNAcentral.
GUAAUUCCAGAUGCCAGUGUGUAUGCUGGGGAGCUUCAGUGCCUGUGAUGUGGCUGUGGCUGUGCCAUUUUGAUAAUACUUUUCAGGAUCAAUGCCAAUUUGAUAAGAAAAGUUGAUGAUAAGAAUUAAACUCUUGUGAAUGUUUUUUCUGAUUUUUCAAGAUUUCUGAAGGAAUGUUAGGCAGCAUUAAACUAUAUCUGAACUUUUAGAAGCUCUUGCAGCAAGAUAAGCUAUUUCAUCAGCUAUAUAGACUAGUAAUCCCAAAUAAACAGCAAUUAUUUGUAUUGAAAAAACUACAAUUUGCAAUUCCAUGGAGCAACAAUUCCCUGUUUUAGGAAAAACAACAUAUGAUGAUCCAGGAAGGCCACCAACAGCAAGCAAUAUUUUCUUUCAUCAGGCUGCUCUGCUCAGUCUCAACCGAUCCAUGCGAAUGUAAACUUAUAUUAAAGGGUAUUGAACUGGAAUUGGAGUGGAAACAUGAAUCCCGUAAUCUAAUGUAAACAAAUCGAACUCUUUUAUCCACCAACAACAGAUCAGAUCUGCAAAUAAUCAUGAUCAACCCACCAAUUAAAGAUUCCAAUUGCUUGAUA